GCAGCCUAUAUAAGUCUCGUGAGAUCUCCUCCCCUUGGUUUACUGUCACAGCCGGAUCUGCGGCGGUGUCUCGCCCGGUCUCCCGCCCGGUCUCCGGUCCCAGGCUCGGGGAGCAUGUCGUCUCUCUGCCGCCCUGCCGCCACAUCUGGCUUUAAUCCUCCCCGGCGUGUGCAGAGGCAGCUCAGACUGCCAACAAAAGGCCCCGGGAGCCCUCGGCCUCCGCCUUGGCGCGCGACCCGACCACCCCGGACUGCCCCAGCCCGGCCCCUUCCCCCAGCUGCAGGUCCCGUGCCCUGGACAUCCUGCCUGGGUAGCAGUCCUGGUGACAGGUCCCGGCAGCGGCUCCCGCCCUAAUCCGACGGUGGAGUCCGAGGCCCCGCGGUUCCGGGCACCUCACUUUCUCUCACCGUCGCGACAUCCCUAGCGAUAGGCGUCGUUAUCCCCAGUUUAAUUUACCAAUGAGGAGACCGGGACUCAGGGAGAAGGACUGGCUUAAGCAGCUAGAAAGAAGAGCUGUAACUAGGAUUUAAAUACAGUUUGAGUGCUAAAGACUCUGAUUUUUCCACUACAUCACGCUGUCCUGCCCCUUUCUCCUGAGCCCCAUGUCCUUAAUUAUCACCAUUUCAUAAGGUUUGAGGUUAACUUCAGCACCAAAUAGAUAAUCAUCUAGAGAAAACCUGCGGUGUCUGCCCCUGUUUUUCUUAGUAUCCAUAUGUACUAUGACUUGCGUUAAUAGAAACUACCAUAGGGUACAUCAUUUUUUGGGUACUUACCAUAUGCCAGGCAAGGUGCUAAGAUUUUAACUGCAUCAUCUCAUUUAAUUCCCAUUUUUCAUGAGGAAACUGGAGCUCAAAGAGGUUAGAGAAUUUGCCGAAAGUCACACAGCAGGCCUUUGAAACGUGCAGUCUCAUCCAGUAUCACGGCAGAAGCAGAAAGACAGAAGAUGGAGCAAGCAGAAGCCAUGAGCACAGAGGAAGCCAAAAGACUGGCCCUGAGCUAACAUCCGUGCCCAUCUUCCUCUGCUUUAUAUGUGGGACACCUACCACAGCAUGGCUUGCCAAGCGGUGGUGCCAUGUCUGCACCCGGAUCCGAACCGGCGAAUCCCGGGCCACCGAAGCGGAACAUGCACACUUAAUUGUUAUGCCACUGAGCUGGCCCCUUGUUUAGCCUGUUUUACACAUGAAGAAACUGAGGAUGCUGCCACAGCAUGGCUUGACGAGCGAUGCUAGGUCUGCGCCCAGGAUCCAAACCUGCAAACCCCGGGCCACUGAAGCAGAGCACGCGAACUUAACCACUAUGCUACUGGGCUGGCCCCAACAUAAAACUUUUAAAAGCA
RNAcentral lists this long non-coding RNA (1336 nucleotides) under Equus caballus (horse). Its description in RNAcentral is "lncRNA (ENSECAG00000053070.1)". Lineage: Eukaryota; Metazoa; Chordata; Mammalia; Perissodactyla; Equidae. The record is from RNAcentral.